This is a non-coding RNA of Camellia sinensis, 153 nucleotides long. Lineage: Eukaryota; Viridiplantae; Streptophyta; Magnoliopsida; Ericales; Theaceae. The record is from RefSeq and is a predicted model, not a curated record.
ACAACCUGCCCUUGAGAAUAGUACGCUACUUCAGUUCCAUCUGGUAAUCCAUUAUCCUCAAAAACCAACUUAUGCAACCGCAGAUCUCUAGAUAAAAGACAUCACAAGACCAACAGAAAUUAUUUCUCGAAUCAUACUGUAAGAAUUUAUUUA